This is a non-coding RNA of Pteropus alecto (black flying fox), 119 nucleotides long. NCBI's taxonomy places the organism in Eukaryota, Metazoa, Chordata, Mammalia, Chiroptera, Pteropodidae. The record is from Rfam.
GUCUACAGCCAUGCUACCCUGAACAAGCCCAAUCCCGUCUGAUCUUGGAAGCUAAGCAGGGUCGGGCCUGAUUAGUACUUGGAUAGGAGACCACCCAGGAAGACUAGGUGCUGUAGAUG